RNAcentral lists this long non-coding RNA (273 nucleotides) under Cricetulus griseus (Chinese hamster). RNAcentral describes it as "lncRNA (ENSCGRG00015032784.1)". The record is from RNAcentral. Lineage: Eukaryota; Metazoa; Chordata; Mammalia; Rodentia; Cricetidae.
GUGGAAUUAUUCCCUCCUCAGGAGACUCCUGAAUGGCUUCAUGAAAUACCAUUAUAGAAUCACCAUUUAUAUCAGUCUUCACAAGAAGGUGAGAGAACUGCUCUUCUCAGCAAUUCAGGCAGGUCAAGUCAGUGCGUCUUUCUACAUGAUAAGGGUUACUGUGAGCAUAGACUGCUUCCUGUCACAGUUGCCUGGUCAGACCCUUGCCCUUCCCCAACAAACUACAGCCAUGCCCCUAGUAAGCCAGGGAUCAAACUUUCCACAAGGCAGGGC